Molecule: long non-coding RNA, 693 nt
Filed under: Capsicum annuum
Lineage: Eukaryota; Viridiplantae; Streptophyta; Magnoliopsida; Solanales; Solanaceae
Description: long non-coding RNA (CANN_LNC010596)
Source: RNAcentral
GAAAUUAUGUGCACACACAUGUACAUAUAGAUGUACAUAUAAAAAUAGUGUCUUAUUAUAAAAUGGGCUUAGAUUAAGUUUUAGACUCGCCAUGGCUACGAAGUGGUUGCUCGACUAAUCGGCCGUCCUAAAUCGCCUGGCCAAGAUACGAAUCAUAAAACCUUUUGUGGUGUCGUGGUGUUAUAAAAGUUUCGUCAUUGCCCAAAAUAUUUAAUUUUUUUAUUACGUAUUUAUAUACGUAAUAUCCGUCUUUUAUUUGUGGAGGCCUCAAAAAUCGACGGUAAUCUUUUCAUUGGCCAAGAAUAUUUAUUUUGAAAUAAAAUAGAUAAAUUUGAGAAAAUAAAGUCCGUCUUUUGUAAUGGGGUGGCCUCAAAAAUCCGACGGAAAGAUAUUUUCAUCGGCCAUGUGUUGACUUUUGAUAUAAAAUAAUGAAUUUGACAAAAUAAAAUUCGUCUUUUGUCACGGGAUGGCCUCAAAUAUCUGAUGGAAAGAUAAUUUCAUCGGCCAAAGUAUUUAUUUUGAGUAUAUGUAUAUGUUUUUGAGAAAAAGAAAAAGAUGAGCAAAUUUUGUGUUUGAAGGAGAGGAGAAAGAGGUGAAAAAUAUGUGUGGAUUUUUUGAGAGAGAGGAAGAAUAAAAGUGUGUGUGGAAAUGUCUUCCGUGUGUGGAAAUGUCUUCCCAUCACUCUUAUUUAUA